Molecule: small nuclear RNA, 104 nt
Organism: Neofelis nebulosa (Clouded leopard)
Lineage: Eukaryota; Metazoa; Chordata; Mammalia; Carnivora; Felidae
Source: RefSeq, a predicted model, not a curated record
GCCUGUGUAAUAGUGCAUAUACUAAAAUCAGAACAAAACAGAGAACAUUAGCAUGGCCUUUGUGCAAGGAUGACAUGCAAACUGAUGAAGCAUUCCAUAUUUUU